GGGGCCGUAGUCUAGCCUGGCUAGGAUUGGGCGUAGCCCCCUGAGGCCGGCCUGGGGACAAACCCCGUAGAUGCCAGCACGCCGGUGAUCCCGGGUUCAAAUCCCGGCGGCCCCA
Molecule: transfer RNA, 115 nt
Filed under: Pyrobaculum islandicum DSM 4184
Lineage: Archaea; Thermoproteati; Thermoproteota; Thermoprotei; Thermoproteales; Thermoproteaceae
Description: tRNA-Pro
Source: RNAcentral